ACGGGGGUGCAAAUUUAAUCGGAUUCCCGGGUUUAAGGGCACCUAGUUGUUUAGUCAGUUAAAACGAAAGCCCGGGCUCCACCUGGGAACAGCACUUGAUCUGCCGGCCUAGAUACGGUAAAGGGUAGUGAAUUUCCGGUGAAUCGUUAAAUGCGUAGAGAUCGGAGGAACACUAGUGGUGAAGGCGACUGCUUGGACCGAUACUGACACUGAGGUGCGAAAGCGUGGGUAGUAAACAGGAUUAGUUACUCUGGUAGUCCACGCUGUAAACGAUGUCAACUAACCGUCGGGGACUUGAUCCGUUAGUGGCUCAGCUAACAUGAUAAGUUGUCCGCAUGGGGAGUACGGCCGCAAGGUUAAAACUCAACUGAACUGACGGGGGCCCGUACAAGCGCUGGAGCAUGUGGUAUAAUUCGAAGCAUCGCGAAGAACAUGACCUACUCUUGACAUCUUGCGAACGUGCUAUAGAUAGCUAGGUGCCUUCGGGAACGCAGUGACAGAUGCUGCAUGGCUGUCGUCAGCUCGUGUUGUGAAAUGUUAGGUUAAGUCUCGUACCGAGCGCAACCCCUAUCCUUAUUUGCCAGCACUUUGCGUUGGAACUCUAAGGAGACUGCCGUUGACAUACCGGAGGAAUGUCGGUAUGACGUCAAGUCAUCAUGGUCUUUGCGAGUAUGGCUAUACUCGUGCUACAAUGGCCGGUACAGAGGGCCGAGAACUUGCGAGGGUAAGUAAUUCUCAGAAAACCGGUCGUAGUCUGGAUUGCAGUCUGCAAAUGGGCUGCGUGAAGUUGGAAUGCUUGUAAUCGCGAAUCAGAACGUUGCGGUGAAUACUGUUCCCGGGCCUCUUACACAUCGCCCGUUACACCAUGGGAGUGGGUUGCACCAGAAGUAGCUAGUAUAACCUUCGGGAGGACGGUUACCACGGUGUGAUUCAUGAGCUGGGGUGAA
This 947-nucleotide ribosomal RNA is filed under the name uncultured Marinobacterium sp. Its description in RNAcentral is "bacterial SSU rRNA". It matches the Rfam family "Bacterial small subunit ribosomal RNA", at positions 525 to 1484 of the family's 1533-position model. The record is from RNAcentral. Lineage: Bacteria; Pseudomonadati; Pseudomonadota; Gammaproteobacteria; Oceanospirillales; Oceanospirillaceae.